CCUACGGGAGGCAGCAGUGGGGGAUAUUGCACAAUGGGGGAAACCCUGAUGCAGCGACGCCGCGUGUGGGAAGACGGUCCUCUGGAUUGUAAACCACUGUCCCCAGGGACGAAAAUGACGGUACCUGGGGAGGAAGCUCCGGCAAACUACGUGCAAGCAGCCGCGGUAAUACGUAGGGCGCGAGCGUUGUCCGUAAUUACUGGGUGUAAAGGGAGCGUAGGCGGGGAUGCAAGUUGGCUGUCAAAACUACCGGCUCAACUGGUAGUCGCACGCAAAACUGCAGCGCGUGAGUGAAGUAGAGGCAGGCGGAAUUCCUAGUGUAGCGGUGAAAUGCGUAGAUAUUAGGAGGAAUACCAGUGGCGAAGGCGGCCUGCUGGGCGUUGACUGACGCUGAGGCUAGAAAGUGUGGGUAUCAAACAGGAUUAGAUACCCUUGUAGUC
RNAcentral lists this ribosomal RNA (440 nucleotides) under uncultured bacterium. Its description in RNAcentral is "partial 16S ribosomal RNA". It matches the Rfam family "Bacterial small subunit ribosomal RNA", at positions 338 to 795 of the family's 1533-position model. The record is from RNAcentral.